This 819-nucleotide ribosomal RNA is filed under the name uncultured bacterium. RNAcentral's name for it is "bacterial SSU rRNA". It matches the Rfam family "Bacterial small subunit ribosomal RNA", at positions 1 to 831 of the family's 1533-position model. The record is from RNAcentral.
GAAUUCGCCCUUAGAGUUUGAUUCUGGCUCAGGAUAAACGCUGGCGGCGUGCUUAACACAUGCAAGUCGAACGAAGUUUUUCUUUCGGGAGAAACUUAGUGGCGGACGGGUGAGUAACGCGUGGGUAACCUGCCCUGUACAGGGGGACAACAGCUGGAAACGGCUGCUAAUACCGCAUAAGCCCUUAGCACUGCAUGGUGCAUAGGGAAAAGGAGUAAUCCGGUACAGGAUGGACCCGCGUCUGAUUAGCCAGUUGGCAGGGUAACGGCCUACCAAAGCGACGAUCAGUAGCCGAUCUGAGAGGAUGUACGGCCACAUUGGGACUGAGACACGGCCCAGACUCCUACGGGAGGCAGCAGUGGGGAAUAUUGCACAAUGGGGGAAACCCUGAUGCAGCGACGCCGCGUGAGGGAAGACGGUCCUCUGGAUUGUAAACCUCUGUCUUCGGGGACGAAACGAGACGGUACCCGAGGAGGAAGCCACGGCUAACUACGUGCCAGCAGCCGCGGUAAUACGUAGGUGGCAAGCGUUGUCCGGAAUUACUGGGUGUAAAGGGAGCGUAGGCGGGCAGGCAAGUCAGGCGUGAAAUAUAUCGGCUCAACCGGUAUCUGCGCUUGAAACUGCAGGUCUUGAGUGAAGUAGAGGUUGGCGGAAUUCCUAGUGUAGCGGUGAAAUGCGUAGAUAUUAGGAGGAACACCAGUGGCGAAGGCGGCCAACUGGGCUUUUACUGACGCUGAGGCUCGAAAGUGUGGGGAGCAAACAGGAUUAGAUACCCUGGUAGUCCACACCGUAAACGAUCAUUACUAGGUGUGGGGGGGA